GAUGGACGCUAGCGAUAGGCUUAACACAUGCAAGUCGAGGGGCAGCAUGGUCUUAGCUUGCUAAGACUGAUGGCGACCGGCGCACGGGUGCGUAACGCGUAUGCAACUUGCCUCACAGAGGGGGAUAACCCGUCGAAAGACGGACUAAUACCGCGUACACUUGGGAUAGGGCAUCCUGACCCAAGGAAAUGAAAUUCGCUGUGAGAUAGGCAUGCGUCCCAUUAGCUAGUUGGUGAGGUAACGGCUCACCAAGGCGACGAUGGGUAGGGGAACUGAGAGGUUGAACCCCCACACUGGUACUGAGACACGGACCAGACUCCUACGGGAGGCAGCAGUGAGGAAUAUUGGUCAAUGGGCGAGAGCCUGAACCAGCCAAGUCGCGUGAAGGAUGACUGUCUUAUGGAUUGUAAACUUCUUUUAUACGGGAAUAACAAGAGCCACGUGUGGCUCCCUGCAUGUACCGUAUGAAUAAGCAUCGGCUAACUCCGUG
This 490-nucleotide ribosomal RNA is filed under the name uncultured bacterium. RNAcentral's name for it is "partial 16S ribosomal RNA". It matches the Rfam family "Bacterial small subunit ribosomal RNA", at positions 28 to 507 of the family's 1533-position model. The record is from RNAcentral.